This 71-nucleotide transfer RNA is filed under the name Loxodonta africana (African savanna elephant). It matches the Rfam family "tRNA". From Rfam's summary of the family: Transfer RNA (tRNA) molecules are approximately 80 nucleotides in length. Their secondary structure includes four short double-helical elements and three loops (D, anti-codon, and T loops). Lineage: Eukaryota; Metazoa; Chordata; Mammalia; Proboscidea; Elephantidae. The record is from Rfam by way of RNAcentral.
GCAGUGGUGGUUCAGUGGUAGAAUACUUGACUUCCAUAUAGGAGACCUGGGUUCAAUUCCCAGCUGAUGCA